Molecule: ribosomal RNA, 429 nt
Filed under: Bacteroidota bacterium
Lineage: Bacteria; Pseudomonadati; Bacteroidota
Description: Bacteroidetes bacterium partial 16S ribosomal RNA
Rfam family: Bacterial small subunit ribosomal RNA
Source: RNAcentral
UAGGGAAUCUUCGGCAAUGGGGGGAACCCUGACCGAGCAACGCCGCGUGAGUGAAGAAGGUUUUCGGAUCGUAAAGCUCUGUUGUUAAGGAAGAACGAGUGUGAGAAUGGAAAGUUCAUGCUGUGACGGUACUUAACCAGAAAGGGACGGCUAACUACGUGCCAGCAGCCGCGGUAAUACGUAGGUCCCGAGCGUUGUCCGGAUUUAUUGGGCGUAAAGCGAGCGCAGGCGGUUAGAGAAGUCUGAAGUGAAAGGCAGUGGCUCAACCAUUGUAGGCUUUGGAAACUGUUUAACUUGAGUGCAGAAGGGGAGAGUGGAAUUCCAUGUGUAGCGGUGAAAUGCGUAGAUAUAUGGAGGAACACCGGUGGCGAAAGCGGCUCUCUGGUCUGUAACUGACGCUGAGGCUCGAAAGCGUGGGGAGCGAACAGG